Molecule: long non-coding RNA, 555 nt
Organism: Osmerus eperlanus (European smelt)
Lineage: Eukaryota; Metazoa; Chordata; Actinopteri; Osmeriformes; Osmeridae
Exons: 3
Source: RefSeq, a predicted model, not a curated record
GAGAAGAGGUCGGGGAAGAACAGGGUCGAAAAUGAGGAUAUCGAACGAGAGGAACGAGAGCCAGGCAGAGGAUGAUGGAUAAAGGCUGGAGGUAAGGUUCUCAGUCCAGUGUUUGUGGGUGUCCUGGCCUCGUCUCUGCUCAGCUGGCCGGAUGGCUCGAUGGCUGAAGGGGAGACUGCUUGAAAGCCCACAGCUCACAAUCCCCCAACCGCCUCGAGGGAAAAGAGAAUGCAGUGGCAUCUCUCACCCUGCUGAAUCGCACUGUAAACACAGAGGACUAGGAGCCUCAAUACCGCCACCUGCUGCUAGAAGACUGAGUUGCACCACGACGCUGCAGAAUAAAAUUGAGACGCAUUGCUGCCCCCUAGUGGCAGCUGUGGUCACAUUGAAAACCGAAGGCGACCUUUUCGCCUCAGUGAUUCUUUCAUGUCACUCGAGCAGAGCAAGAUUGGACAUGACAACACAGCUGGCGUAUUCGGCUCUCAAUGAUUUACAUGAGCGGUAGCUUUUCGGCUGGUUUUCCCACGCCAUGACGGGAGGAGAAGACAUUUUUUG